UCCCUCUUGCUAAAUGUUGUCAGAAUUGAAACUUGCUGGUACACUGUUUCUUGUGUGUAAAUUUUCUCAACUUUCUGUCUUUUCUAUAAAUGGAAAACUUUAAAGAAAACCACAGAUGUGCUCUCAUUCUUAAUACUCGACUUCAGACUACUUCCUCCACUUGAACGCGAUCCUCACCUAGAAAUCAAAAUAAAGGUCUCAGUACAUAUUUAGGGCAGGAGCUGUUAGGGGAGAAGAUAGGAAUGUUGUGGGUCAUUCCUAGGAUUAUGGGUCAUCCCCUAAUUCUUUCAAAUUAUGUGUACUCGACAGACUGAUAUUUAUUGUACUUUUUAUCAGUUAACCUAAAUAGCAUUCCAUAAAUAUGCUUUGUUAUCUAUAAGGAGAAUAAGUAGGAAUUCAUUUUCUUUUAUUUAUGUAAUUUUUUUUUCUACUGAAGUAAUCUUGAGGUUAGGUCUUGUGUCUAAAAGUAUUAUUUAAAGGUCACGUUUAGUAAGUUUGAUGUCAUUCCUAUGAUAGUAUCUCUUGUUUAUCUUAAACAUAAAUAAUAUUGGACUUAUUUCAGAUGUGGCGGGAGUUGGACAGGAGUGUAACUAGAGAACUAAGGAAAGGUGCUGCUGAAUUUGUAUCUGAAUUCUCUCGAGUGUCCUCUGUAUUAUCUACAGGCAGAUCAAAUCUAUAUCAGGACCUACCUGUGAGACAUCAAAAUAAUAUAUACAGAUUUUGAAGGAAAAAAAUAUAUGAUUUGAAAACUCAAUAGUAAAAAUUUCCCUACUGGACUGUUUCCAUGGGAUUUUAGUUGUUUCCCAUUAAAAAUGAUGAGAAAAUCUUUAUUAAAGGAAAAUAUUUCUGUA
This is a non-coding RNA of Odocoileus virginianus texanus, 851 nucleotides long. Lineage: Eukaryota; Metazoa; Chordata; Mammalia; Artiodactyla; Cervidae. The record is from RefSeq and is a predicted model, not a curated record.